UUAACUUGACUAAUAGAUUAACUUAAAUUAAACUAAACUCACAAGACUACAAAUACAUAAGAAAGUUAUUGCUUACAUUAUCCACAAUACCUUAAUUAGUUAAAGCAGAUUUUAUACUUGAAAAUAAUUUUAAAAAAACAUAAAUUUAUAAAAUGAAAAUUUAGAUGCCCGCUCAAGUUGCGUUUGCUGAUCAAUGGCAUUAGCAACAAGAUGCGUUGUUAGGACCACACACCAAAAAAAAUAAAAAAUAAAUAAAAAAAGUUAGGGACCACAUACAUUUAAGUGUUUGAGUUUAACGAGGAGUAUCAAGAUUCUGGUUUGAGUUUGGGAAUUUGAGGUUGGAGUUCUAAAUUCUCAAAUUGAUUUUUUUUAUUUAUAUACAAGCGAUAACCUAACUAAAUU
Molecule: long non-coding RNA, 402 nt
Filed under: Prunus persica (peach)
Lineage: Eukaryota; Viridiplantae; Streptophyta; Magnoliopsida; Rosales; Rosaceae
Description: long non-coding RNA (PPER_LNC004905)
Source: RNAcentral